CACAAUAAAUAGAAGCGCCAGUCUGUGAACGUCGCUCCUCUUAGUCGAUACCUUGUUGUCAGACAGUAAGGUUAUAAACAUUCGGUUAUUUUGUUUAAACCUUGACACCAGAUCUGAGAGAUGAACGAAGAGGAUUUACACUUGGCCAAAGCGAUUGCCAGUAUGGACAUACCUUCCUCGGAUCCGCCCGACGCGAAGAAGACCCUUGUCAGCAGGGUCCAGGAGAAAAUACAAAACUUCAGCGGCACCCAACCUCCUCAACCAAACCAAGAAGAGGAGAGCUCCGGAUCUUCAGGCGCUUCGCCAGAUACUUCAAGGAGAACAAGAUCUCUGAAUGCUCCAAGCCCGGUUCCACAAUUUGGCCCUUGCGGCCGCAUUCUAAAAAAUUCCGCAAUGGUCAUCACAAUACAGGAUCCUGCAAGUCAGAGGCUAACCUGGUACAAGCCUCCGCUGACCGUACUGGUCAUAAAGAAAGUGCGGGAUGUAUCAGUAUUGCAGCCAUUUGUUCAAUUAGUUCAUUGGCUCAUACAGGAGAAAUGUAUGGUGGUCUUUGUGGAGCAAUCAGUAAUGGAAGACACAUUGUUACUUAAUAAUGGAGAAUUCGGAAGGGUGAAGGAUAAGUUAAUGACUUUCCGGGAUGGAAAAGAUGACUUAACUGAUAAAAUUGACUUCAUCAUUUGUUUAGGAGGUGAUGGAACAUUGCUUUAUGCGAGUUUACUUUUCCAACAAUCAGUACCACCUGUCAUGGCCUUUCAUCUUGGUUCUCUUGGCUUUCUCACACCGUUCCGAUUUGACAACUUUCAAGAGCAAGUCACAAAUGUAUUGGAAGGACAUGCCGCUCUCACUCUCAGGAGUAGGCUCAGAUGCAUAAUAGUCAGAAAGAAUGAGGAUGACAUUAAAAAACCACCGACUAAUUUAUUGGUCCUCAAUGAAGUUGUUGUGGAUCGAGGACCGUCACCUUACCUAUCAAACAUAGAUCUAUAUUUAGAUGGAAAACUCAUCACUUCAGUACAAGGAGACGGACUGAUUGUUUCCACUCCAACAGGAAGCACAGCUUAUGCUGUAGCCGCAGGGGCUUCUAUGAUCCAUCCGAGCGUUCCAGCUAUAAUGGUGACGCCCAUAUGCCCACAUUCUCUUUCUUUUAGGCCCAUAGUUGUACCAGCAGGUGUUGAAUUGAAGAUCUCUGUGUCUCCAGAUAGUCGCAAUACAUCUUGGGUUUCAUUCGAUGGGAGAAACCGGCAGGAGUUAUUCCAUGGGGAUAGGUCAUGUUGAACUCGGGAGCCCGAAACACUGCCUGGGUUAGUUUCGAUGGGAGAAAUCAACAGGAGCUGAAAGUUGGAGAUAGCCUUACAGUUACAACUUC
This 1363-nucleotide unclassified non-coding RNA is filed under the name Cimex lectularius (bed bug). Its description in RNAcentral is "nAD kinase-like, transcript variant X2". The record is from RNAcentral. Lineage: Eukaryota; Metazoa; Arthropoda; Insecta; Hemiptera; Cimicidae.